This 498-nucleotide ribosomal RNA is filed under the name uncultured bacterium. RNAcentral describes it as "bacterial SSU rRNA". It matches the Rfam family "Bacterial small subunit ribosomal RNA", at positions 8 to 522 of the family's 1533-position model. The record is from RNAcentral.
AGAGUUUGAUCCUGGCUCAGGACGACGCUGGCGGCGUGCUUAACACAUGCAAGUCGAACGGGGUAUGCGAGGAGCUUGCUUUGAGCAUACUUAAGUGGCGGACGGGUGAGUAACGCGUGAGGAUCUGUCCUAUACAGUGGUGGACAACAGAUGGAAACGUCUGCUAAUACCGCAUAAGCCUAAGGGUAAAGGAGAGAUUCUUAUAGGAGGAACUCGCGUCUAUCAGCUAGUAGGUGAGGUAACGGCUCACCUAGGCGAAGACGGGUAGCCGGCCUGAGAGGGCGAACGGCAACACUGGAACUGAGAUACGGUCCAGACUCCUACGGGAGGCAGCAGUCGGGGAAUAUUGGGCAAUUGGGGGAAACCCUGACCAGCGACGUCGCAGUUGAGUGAACGAAAUCCCUCGGGGAAUGUAAAAGCUCUGUUGUACGGGAAGAGAAAGCAGACGGUACCGUCACGAGGAAGCCCCGGCAACCUACGUUGCCAGCAGCCGCGGUA